This is a long non-coding RNA of Nicotiana attenuata, 1140 nucleotides long. RefSeq lists it as uncharacterized. NCBI's taxonomy places the organism in Eukaryota, Viridiplantae, Streptophyta, Magnoliopsida, Solanales, Solanaceae. The record is from RefSeq and is a predicted model, not a curated record. The transcript has 5 exons.
UCUGCUAAGCUUUAUUUUUACCUUUUCUUUUCCCUCCAAUUUUUUUCCCCUCUAAAUCUUCUCCCGCCUAAAUAUUAUAUCACUUCUCUAAUUUGCCUAAAAAAAGGAAAACCUACGCCUCUAAGAAUUAGGUCUCAUUCUUAAAAAAGCUUUUACAAUUUUCAUGGUGUAAGAAAACCUCCGCCUCUAGCAACCAAAAUUUUCGCCAAUUGAAAGGUGAUACCCUCUGCCCGUUAGACUGCCCCUCACUGCUUGGACGAGGCAGAAUUAUCUGCUGCACAUUAUCAUCUCUUAAGGCUGGUAAGUUAACUCCAACAUCCUCCUCAUGUGUAAGUGCAUCAAAAGCAUUUUGACAGGGGCGGAUCUAGCGUGUAGUAUAUGGGUUCCCGGGAACCUAGUAACUUUUGCAUAGACCCUGUAUUUUUGUUAAAAAAUUUAUUAAAUAUCUAUUUGUGAACCCAGUUAUUAUUGUAUAUUAAUUUGAAAUUACGACAUGAACCCAUAAACUUAAAAUCCUGGAUCCGCCUCUGCAUUUUGAGUUAUGAUAGCUUUUGAGACAUUCUGUCACACAACUGGGAAAGUUGACUGCUGCUGCGUAUUUUCCACCAACGGAGUGUUACCUUGACUACUUGAAGAUCCAAAAGUAUAGAAAUAAUAGGGCCAAACAAAAUAUGCCUCACACAGGAGGAUCCAAAAGUAUUGCCGCCUUAAUGGAUGAGCAGGCCAAGAAUGGUAUAGAGCCUACACGAGCAGAAAUAUUUAUACUGACACACAAAAAACGUAAAGAUGAUAGACUAUUGGAUGAGGUGUCUGCAAAGGCAGUUGUCGUUGAUACCAACCGUGGCCAUGAGUGAAUACCAGAAUCACCCAAUAUGCAUAAUGUAGCUGGAAAUACUCCGUCGUCUCGUGGUUAAACAGUAUGAUGUGAAAGAUUUCAGUACGAGGAAGAUUUGCAGAAUUGUUUGAGGGCUUCUACUCUUUUGUUAUUAUGAAUAUUAUAUAGAAUUAGCGAUGAUAACAUUGGUUAUUUUGUUUGAACAAUGUAAUUUUAUCUUACAUGUCGUUGACACAUUAGUAAGAAUUAAUACUUUCUUUUGUUUUUCUAGAUUGAAUGAAAUAUAUUAUGUUUUUAUGAGUUAA